AAGAUAAAUGUCUCCGAAACGGAUAUUAUAUCAGGAUUCCUUUCGAAAAUUUGUUUGAAUUCCUAUGAACUUGACAGGCGUUAUCUUACCUCUGUUCAAAUUAUGAAAGUAAAAAAUGUACUAACGACGGUAAUUUCCAAGUUAAAAAAGCAAUUACACCGAAUUGAAAGCUAACAGGGCCACGUACGGGUAGUCCAUAGAUAACCAGAACCGAUUAACAAGACUAUAUAACAAGUGUCUAGCAGUCUAGUGAAUAAUUUUGACUUCCGCAAUGCACUGUUUGAAAGCAUUUUUCCUGGUGACGGCGCUUAUUAUGACGAUCGCCAUUAAUUCCUCGAUAGCAAGAAGCAACCAUACUCUGGAUAUAAACUUUGACUUGGAUGAAAACGCAUGUGAAUGUAGGGAGGAGAAAUUCUGUUCUGUUGACGUGAAUUCCGAAGUGGAAUGCGACGAACCGGGGACGGUCUGUUGCAUACUCAAAACAAAGUAGCCUUUCUUUCUCAAGAAAAACCUGGGAAAAAUGGACCGAGACACCCACCAACAAUAUAUCUAGAGCUUAAAUAAAACUAUGAUAUUAUCAACAUGUGUAUCAAUAAAACUGUUGAAGGUUUCA
Molecule: long non-coding RNA, 613 nt
Organism: Leptinotarsa decemlineata (Colorado potato beetle)
Lineage: Eukaryota; Metazoa; Arthropoda; Insecta; Coleoptera; Chrysomelidae
Source: RefSeq, a predicted model, not a curated record